Molecule: ribosomal RNA, 526 nt
Filed under: uncultured bacterium
Lineage: Bacteria
Description: bacterial SSU rRNA
Rfam family: Bacterial small subunit ribosomal RNA
Source: RNAcentral
AAUAGAUACCCUGGUAGUCCACGCCGUAAACGAUGAGUGCUAAGUGUUAGAGGGUUUCCGCCCUUUAGUGCUGCAGCUAACGCAUUAAGCACUCCGCCUGGGGAGUACGGUCGCAAGACUGAAACUCAAAGGAAUUGACGGGGGCCCGCACAAGCGGUGGAGCAUGUGGUUUAAUUCGAAGCAACGCGAAGAACCUUACCAGGUCUUGACAUCCUCUGACAACUCUAGAGAUAGAGCGUUCCCCUUCGGGGGACAGAGUGACAGGUGGUGCAUGGUUGUCGUCAGCUCGUGUCGUGAGAUGUUGGGUUAAGUCCCGCAACGAGCGCAACCCUUGAUCUUAGUUGCCAGCAUUUAGUUGGGCACUCUAAGGUGACUGCCGGUGACAAACCGGAGGAGGUGGGGAUGACGUCAAAUCAUCAUGCCACUUAUGACCUGGGCUACACACGUGCUACAAUGGAUGGUACAAAGGGCUGCAAGACCGCGAGGUCAAGCCAAUCCCAUAAAAACCAUUCUCAGUUCGGAUUGU